GGGAGGGUCGCCGAAGGCCUUCGUAGGGUGCCGAAGGGCCGGAGCAGGGGCUCCGCCCUCCGGACCCUCUGUUUCGUUCGAUAUGGCUAUUUGGCCCCAGUAUGAAAAGAUUCCCGAUUUCCUCUAUGGCGAGAUUGAUCCUUUCUGCUGGAGCUCGUUUAAAGGCGUGUUCGGGUUGUUAGGAUAUAAAUAGAUCACCCUUGCCUGACUUCAAUCGACGUUGAGCAAAGGCUGGGGUUGUACCAGGUUUCUCGAGGUACAGUGCAAUCAUUUCACCAAUCUCUCAUUUCAACGUUAAGGUUCAUGUCGAUUCUGCUUGUUGAUCGACUCAAUCCGGGUCUGUCAGGGCCCCUUUUUUUAUUUUGAAAAUUUUAAGUGAAGUCGGUAAGAGGUUUGCUGACUUUACUUUAAAUUUUCAAAAAAGGGGCCCAAAUUUUAAGUGAAGUCGGAAAACCUCUUGUCGACUUCACUAAAAAUUUUCAAAACAAAAAAAGAGCCCCAACGGACCUCUAAUUCGAACAUCAUAGGGGUCUGAAGGGCGGAGCCCCUACUCUAGCCCUUUGGCGCCCCUCUAGCGCCCUCCGGAGGCUUCUAGAGGCCCUCCCUCUCCCUCUUCCUCUCGCCUCUUUUCCUCUCUUUCCUUCUUCCUCUCCUCCCACCUGCUGGUUCACCAUUUUGAAUGUCGGAACCGUCUUGGUUUGCCGCCAGAAUCGUCCUGGUCUGCUGCCGGCAUGGCUCGGUACGCCUUGAACCGGGCGAUUAUGGACGGUUCCGCAUUCCUUGCUUGAGAUACUUAUUAGCUUUGUGAAUGGAAACAAUUGAUAUCUUGAAAUCUUUUUAAUUACUUUUUGGUACUUUUAGAUUAAUGACAUCUCAUUGUUGAAGUAUUGAG
RNAcentral lists this long non-coding RNA (892 nucleotides) under Phoenix dactylifera (date palm). Its description in RNAcentral is "long non-coding RNA (PDAC_LNC016922)". Lineage: Eukaryota; Viridiplantae; Streptophyta; Magnoliopsida; Arecales; Arecaceae. The record is from RNAcentral.